This 450-nucleotide ribosomal RNA is filed under the name uncultured bacterium. Its description in RNAcentral is "bacterial SSU rRNA". It matches the Rfam family "Bacterial small subunit ribosomal RNA", at positions 330 to 793 of the family's 1533-position model. The record is from RNAcentral.
ACCAGACUCCUACGGGAGGCAGCAGUGGGGAAUAUUGCACAAUGGGGGGAACCCUGAUGCAGCGACGCCGCGUGGGUGAAGGAGCACCUCGGUGCGUAAAGCUCUAUCAGCAGGGAAGAAAGAAAUGACGGUACCUGAGUAAGAAGCCCCGGCUAACUACGUGCCAGCAGCCGCGGUAAUACGUAGGGGGCAAGCGUUAUCCGGAAUUACUGGGUGUAAAGGGAGCGUAGACGGUUAAGCAAGUCUGGAGUGAAAGGCGGGGGCCCAACCCCCGGACUGCUCUGGAAACUGUGUAACUAGAGUGCAGGAGAGGUAAGCGGAAUUCCUAGUGUAGCGGUGAAAUGCGUAGAUAUUAGGAGGAACACCAGUGGCGAAGGCGGCUUACUGGACUGUAACUGACGUUGAGGCUCGAAAGCGUGGGGAGCAAACAGGAUUAGAUACCCGGGUACG